UACGUAGGGGGCAAGCGUUGUCCGGAAUCAUUGGGCGUAAAGCGCGCGUAGGCGGCCCGGUAAGUCCGCUGUGAAAGUCGGGGGCUCAACCCUCGAAUGCCGGUGGAUACUGUCGGGCUAGAGUGCGGAAGAGGCGAGUGGAAUUCCUGGUGUAGCGGUGAAAUGCGCAGAUAUCAGGAGGAACACCAAUUGCGAAGGCAGCUCGCUGGGACGUAACUGACGCUGAGACGCGAAAGCGUGGGGAGCAAACAGG
This 253-nucleotide ribosomal RNA is filed under the name uncultured bacterium. Its description in RNAcentral is "partial 16S ribosomal RNA". It matches the Rfam family "Bacterial small subunit ribosomal RNA", at positions 524 to 776 of the family's 1533-position model. The record is from RNAcentral.